UCCGGUGGUUAAUUCAAAAGGUCACACCUAUUCCCAUCCCGAACAUAGAAGUUAAGCUUUUGAUACCGAUGAUAGUAGAAAAAUUGCGAAAGUAGGGACCGCCGGUU
RNAcentral lists this ribosomal RNA (107 nucleotides) under Planctomycetaceae bacterium. The record is from RNAcentral. Lineage: Bacteria; Pseudomonadati; Planctomycetota; Planctomycetia; Planctomycetales; Planctomycetaceae.